AUUGUAUUGAAUUAAUUCAAGCAAUUCGUGCACUUUCUAUUGUCACGAGGGCUUCGUGAUUGCCAAAAAUACUAUGAGAAGCUACAUCACAUUAAAGCGUAGUGAGAGCUGAUAUAAAGGGGUAAAGUUAUGAUCCUUGAGAGGAAAUACACUGAUAGGGUGGAGAAGCUUCGCACGGCACUCGAGAGCCAACUCCACAACAGGGUCUCCAGCACAGACUCUUUCUUCUCAGUCAGGAGGCCCCUGCUCUUCCACAACAACUACUCAAAGUACUCUAGAGAUACUCUAUGACUGUCUCCAUUACCUGCUAAAGAUAUUGCCCCACUGUUGAUCCAGUGUGGAUCUCCAUGGAAACACCAAGACCAGCAGUGGGACUGAGCAUGGUAACACUGAGAAGUUUCUGUACCCUAUGCAAAGUUACUCUCACACCAAAUCUGUCGUCAUCUCUACACACCUGGAAGAGCUAAAGAUUAUUAUAAUACUUUUUUUAAUGUAACCUUUAUUUAACUAUUAUUUGAAUUGAUAUGUACUAGUUUGCAAUUGAAAUGAUUGGGAAAUUUUUUCAACAAUAUGUGUAUAUAUUUCCAGAAAAAUAUAGUUUUAAACAAUAGAUUCAAAGUUAAUGGUCUUUUGUAAAGACAGAGAUUUUAGUCUAUGCUGUAUGUAUAUGCCGUUCAUUGUAUACCAUUUUGUUUUAAUAUUUUUUGCUGAGCUGGUCACAUGUAGACUACUCUCUGAGGAAAGAGUUAUUACUGAAAACCAUAUUCCUGCAUGUAUACAAAGGAACAAUAUGUUGAAAUAAGUAUAGGUUAUGGUAGAGCUAUGGUGGGCUCCCGAGUGGCGCAGCGGUCUAAGGCACUGCAUCUUAGUGCUAGAGGCGUCCCUACAGACCCUGGUUUGAUUCCAGGUUGUGUCACAAUCGGCCGUGAUUGGGCGUCGCACAAUUGGCCCGGCAUUGUUAGGGUUUGGCCGGGGUACAGUAGGCUGUCAUUGUAAAUAAGACUUUGUUCUUAACUGACUUGCCUAGUUAAAUGAAGCUUAAAUAAUAGAGCCUCGUGGUCACAAGGGAAAUUAUAUUUUUGAUAUCCAAUGUAAACAUUUUGUUGUAAAAAAACUGAUGAUGUCUGCUUUUUUUUGUUAUUUUUGAUGUUGUCAAUUUCUUCACCAUUGCUUACUAAAUAACUUGACAACUUAAAAUAUUUUAAAUCCACCAAAAAUGACCUCAACA
This is a long non-coding RNA of Oncorhynchus tshawytscha (Chinook salmon), 1228 nucleotides long. NCBI's taxonomy places the organism in Eukaryota, Metazoa, Chordata, Actinopteri, Salmoniformes, Salmonidae. The record is from Ensembl.